CCUACGGGAUGCAGCAGUGGGGCAUAUUGGGCAAUGGGCGCAAGCCUGACCCAGCAACGCCGCGUGAAGGAAGAAGGCUUUCGGGUUGUAAACUUCUUUUCUCAGGGACGAAGCAAGUGCAGGUACCUGAGGAAUAAGCCACGGCUAACGACGUGCCAGCAGCCGAGGGAAUACGUAGGUGGAAAGCGUUAUCCGGAUUUACUGGGUGUAAAGGGCGUGUAGGCGGGAAAGCAAGUCAGAUGUGAAAACCAUGGGCUCAACCCGUGGCCUGCUUUUGAAACUGUUUGGCUUGAGUACUGGAGAGGCAGACGGAAGUUCUAGUGUAGCGGUGAAAUGCGUAGAUAUUAGGAGGAACACCAGUGGCGAAGGCGGUCUGCUGGACAGCAACUGACGCUGAGGCGCGAAAGCGUGGGGAGCAAACAGGAUUAGAUACCCCAGUAGUC
This 443-nucleotide ribosomal RNA is filed under the name uncultured bacterium. RNAcentral describes it as "partial 16S ribosomal RNA". It matches the Rfam family "Bacterial small subunit ribosomal RNA", at positions 338 to 795 of the family's 1533-position model. The record is from RNAcentral.